This is a long non-coding RNA of Vespa velutina, 654 nucleotides long. RefSeq lists it as uncharacterized. The record is from RefSeq and is a predicted model, not a curated record. NCBI's taxonomy places the organism in Eukaryota, Metazoa, Arthropoda, Insecta, Hymenoptera, Vespidae. The transcript is spliced from 3 exons.
AUUCACAAGUGUAACAUCCUCUUGAGACGAUACAGCAGAUAUAAAACUGGUAGAUGAAACAGAAUGGCUAUCAGAAGAAUCCUGUAAACCUCCAUUAUCAUUCAAUGUGCCAGUAUCAUUCUGGAGAGUGGCAUUCUUGACAAAUCGGAUGAAAAUUUUUUUUUCAUACUAUCGUUACGAUUUAAAACCGAACCGGAACCAACGAUAGAUUGACGUAAACUAGACGUUCUACUUCCGCUUAAACCAUGACUCAUAUCUUCAUCGGCAGAAUAAAAUGCUUCUGAAUGAUUCUCUGAUGACAUUGAGAUAGUUCUUUGAACCUAGGUAAAAAAAAUAAGGACUGGCAUCAACCAAUCGAGAAUAUGGAACAUCUUUUAUAUUGGAUGCACUGUAAUAAAAAAAGAUAGGUGAAAAAUGUAUAUAUAUAUAUAUAUAUUAUCACCUGUAAAAAUAAUUAUAUUAUAUUUUAGAAUAUAGACCUUGGACGAUCAAUAUUUUUCUUUGAAGUUUGCAAUCCUUCUUGAGCAAUAGUUACUUUGACUCCUGUGACAGGAUAACACGAGUCUUGCAAAGAUACAUCUUGUAAACUAUAUGGAGGUGUAUGAAAAACUAAUUGAUUAUCAUGUAAAAUAGACUGUCCAAAUCCUUUUUCUU